GCUUUGGCGUUGCAGGAAUUUUUUUUUGGCACCAAAUUAUUUGCACGAAUUUUUUUUUCCAUGAAACUAGAAGUUUUCUUAACAAAGCACAAGUAACGUAUUGAAUGAAGGAAAACACUCAAAUAAAAAUGUGAACAUUUGUUAUACAACUGAGUCUGAAAUGUUGGCAAUUUCUCGAAAAGUCUGAUUCCGGCAUCUAUACUAAAUUCCGGCAUCUAUACUAAAUUCCGGCAUCUAACUAAAUUCAUGCAUGCAUGAUGGCAUUUUAGAUUUAUCGAGUUUUACUAAUACAGGCAGCAAGAGAUUUGUUGUUCGCGUAUUAACAAUUUGACAGUCGUGUGAAUAGGAAUAUGUGCCAUAAUAGGUAAUUUUUGAGGGGGUAUUUUGGCAGUCGUCACACAACGUCACAUAGGGGUAGGGGGUCUGAAAAAUUGACUAAAAUAGCGUCACCUAUUUUGUGAACGGCCCCUAAACUAUAUUUUAUAAUUUCAAAUGUUUUUGUUGAUAUUGUGUACGAUCUAUACAGUUUUCAUGUUUAUAUUAAGAAAAAGACUAACUAUUUUCUGUUCUUUCAAUAAAUAAUGUGAUUAAAUUCCUUGAACAAUUACUUUUGAAAAGUUGUAGAAAACUAUUAUAUAUUUUAAUACAGCCAUGGAGUCAAAAGACAAAGAUCUCUCAUUUUCCUCAGACCUAGCCCCACCCAUUCACCCAAAGCCAAACCCCAAUACCAGACUUUUUAUUAAAAACACAUAUUUUAUACAAAAUACGUUUUCAAGUUCAAGUUCCAAUUUAUUUUACGAAUUU
Paramuricea clavata is the source of this 804-nucleotide non-coding RNA. The record is from the annotation of a GenBank genome assembly. Lineage: Eukaryota; Metazoa; Cnidaria; Anthozoa; Malacalcyonacea; Plexauridae.